Molecule: small nuclear RNA, 106 nt
Organism: Pteropus vampyrus (large flying fox)
Lineage: Eukaryota; Metazoa; Chordata; Mammalia; Chiroptera; Pteropodidae
Source: Ensembl
UGCUUUGUUAAUUAUGUAUUAUACUAAAAUUGGAACAGCACAGAGAAGGUAAACACAGCCGACGUGCAAGGAUGGCUCACACAUCUGUGAAUCAUUCCAUAUUUGU